CCAGUCUUAAUAAUCAUCACCAACCAACUAUUAACAAACAUUCUUAUGGCAACAAGAAAACAAAAAUUCCACAAAACAUAUUUAAUUUCAUUUCCAAAUAAGUACAACCAAUAAUAUUUGAAAAUGAAAAAGAACAUAAAAAGUGCAAUCCUUCAAAAGUACACCACUAAAAAAAACAACUCUCACAACACCUAAUUCAAACAUUUUUUUCUCUUUCCAAGAAACUAAGACUCAACAUAGUUUCAAUUCCGUCUGCUUUAUCAUCAACUUCGAAAGGCUUCGAACUUUUAGCCUUCACCUUAGACCCUCUACGCCUUGAACUCUACAUUUCAACAGUGACCUC
This 343-nucleotide long non-coding RNA is filed under the name Prunus persica (peach). Its description in RNAcentral is "long non-coding RNA (PPER_LNC004891)". The record is from RNAcentral. Lineage: Eukaryota; Viridiplantae; Streptophyta; Magnoliopsida; Rosales; Rosaceae.